RNAcentral lists this ribosomal RNA (519 nucleotides) under uncultured bacterium. RNAcentral describes it as "bacterial SSU rRNA". It matches the Rfam family "Bacterial small subunit ribosomal RNA", at positions 1 to 524 of the family's 1533-position model. The record is from RNAcentral.
GGAUCCAGACUUUGAUCAUGGCUCAGGACGAACGCUGGCGGCGCGCCUAACACAUGCAAGUCGAGCGGGAAGCUUUUAAGGAUUCUUCGGAUGAAUUAAAAAUUGAGAGCGGCGGACGGGUGAGUAACGCGUGAGAAACCUGCCCUAUACAGGGGGAUAGCCAUUGGAAACGAUGAUUAAUACCCCAUAUGACCACAGUAUCGCAUGAUACAGCGGUGAAAACUCCGGUGGUAUAGGAUGGUCUCGCGUCUGAUUAGCUAGUUGGUGGGGUAACGGCCUACCAAGGCGACGAUCAGUAGCCGGCCUGAGAAGGUGACCGGCCACACUGGAACUGAGACACGGUCCAGACUCCUACGGGAGGCAGCAGUGGGGAAUAUUGCACAAUGGGCGAAAGCCUGAUGCAGCGACGCCGCGUGAACGAUGAAGGCUUUCGAGUCGUAAAGUUCUGUUCUUGGGGAAGAUAACGACGGUACCCAAGGAGAAAGCACUGGCUAAAUACGUGCCAGCAGCCGCGGUAAU